UAACUAACAACAAAGGCAUUACACGGUGUAUGCCCUGCAUUUUCUGCAGACUAUUCCUUGCCUUUUUUCAUAUGCAAAGCAUGCAUCAGCCACAUCCAUGCUAUCUCCUAAAGCAGUCAUUCUGAAACCCAAUCUGGGGACAGUGCAGACUAAAUAAAAUUUCAUUUUGAUUUGGCCUCCCGCUGAGAAUGGGACUGCUUUGUUUCAGCCGACAGAACCAGCAAGCCAGAAAGGUGUUGAAUACACAAAUACUGACUUAACAGAAAAUUAUAUAAAAAGAAGCAAAAUUGUUGGGGUGCAUACGAUUUCAAAAUAUUACUUCAUAAUGAGCAUAAAACACAGCUUAAAGCACAUAUUAUGGGUCCAGAAGAACACAUCUUUCAGUCUUCAAGAAGUAUUUAAACUACUCUGGCAGAUGAAGAUACAAGCAGGAAACAGCAACAGCUGUCAGUGCCUGAAAGGAAAAAAAAUGCAGUUCUCCAGAUGA
This 487-nucleotide long non-coding RNA is filed under the name Zonotrichia albicollis (white-throated sparrow). Its description in RNAcentral is "lncRNA (ENSZALG00000016307.1)". Lineage: Eukaryota; Metazoa; Chordata; Aves; Passeriformes; Passerellidae. The record is from RNAcentral.